AAGACAUUAGUAAAAUGUAUAUUACACCACCUUGUCAAGGUGGUAUUGCAGGUUAAAUCCCUGCAUGUCUUA
Molecule: transfer RNA, 72 nt
Filed under: Gnathopogon nicholsi
Lineage: Eukaryota; Metazoa; Chordata; Actinopteri; Cypriniformes; Gobionidae
Description: tRNA-Asp
Rfam family: tRNA
About the family: Transfer RNA (tRNA) molecules are approximately 80 nucleotides in length. Their secondary structure includes four short double-helical elements and three loops (D, anti-codon, and T loops). Further hydrogen bonds mediate the characteristic L-shaped molecular structure. tRNAs have two regions of fundamental functional importance: the anti-codon, which is responsible for specific mRNA codon recognition, and the 3' end, to which the tRNAs corresponding amino acid is attached (by aminoacyl-tRNA synthetases). tRNAs cope with the degeneracy of the genetic code in two manners: having more than one tRNA (with a specific anti-codon) for a particular amino acid; and 'wobble' base-pairing, i.e. permitting non-standard base-pairing at the 3rd anti-codon position.
Source: RNAcentral